This 406-nucleotide ribosomal RNA is filed under the name uncultured bacterium. RNAcentral describes it as "partial 16S ribosomal RNA". It matches the Rfam family "Bacterial small subunit ribosomal RNA", at positions 28 to 526 of the family's 1533-position model. The record is from RNAcentral.
GAUGAACGCUAGCUACAGGCUUAACACAUGCAAGUCGAGGGACCGGCGCACGGGUGAGUAACACGUAUCCCACCUGCCCUUUACUAGGGGAUAGCCUUUCGAAAGAAAGAUUAAUACCCGAUAUAACGGAUGGGGAUGCGUUCCAUUAGGUUGUUGGUGAGGUAACGGCCCACCAAGCCUUCGAUGGAUAGGGGUUCUGAGAGGAAGCCCCCCCACAUUGUAACGGAGACACGUUCCAAACGCCUACGGAGGGCAGCAGUGAGGAAUAUUGGUCAAUGGGCGCUAGCCUGAACCAGCCAAGUAGAGUGAAGGAUGAAGGGUUAUGGGUCGUAAACUUCUUUUAUAUAAGAAGAUGUAUUAGAUGAAUAAGGAUCGGCUAACUCCGUGCCAGCAGCCGCGGUAAUAC